Long non-coding RNA from Hevea brasiliensis (rubber tree), 367 nucleotides. RefSeq lists it as uncharacterized. The transcript has 3 exons. The record is from RefSeq and is a predicted model, not a curated record. Lineage: Eukaryota; Viridiplantae; Streptophyta; Magnoliopsida; Malpighiales; Euphorbiaceae.
GGAAAAGUCUCCGAAUUGGAUCGAGGUUUUGGCUACCCCACCAUUGUCAGGCAUCCCGAGCGCGUUCCCGAAGUCGGAAUCGGCAAAGGUGAGCCGGGACAGCCUUCUUCCUCCGCCCAGCCGCCACAGUGAUUGUCGUCAAGUCUGCCACAGGAGGAUAUUUUGUUCUGGGUUAACCUGCUUUUCUCCUUCGCAGGUGUUUAUCAAUAAUUGUGUAAUUUUAUUUACUCGUAGAAUUUCCGCAUGUGUUAGCAGUAAUUAUUUGAAUUUGGUCUGUAAUAUUAUAUUCAUGUUGGACCUGUAAACUUAAUAUUUUAAGUAUGUUUUGAUGGAUUGGAUGAGGGAGCUGAGCUCCCAUUUAUUAUUA